RNAcentral lists this ribosomal RNA (264 nucleotides) under uncultured bacterium. RNAcentral's name for it is "partial 16S ribosomal RNA". It matches the Rfam family "Bacterial small subunit ribosomal RNA", at positions 793 to 1055 of the family's 1533-position model. The record is from RNAcentral.
GUCCAUGCCGUAAACGGUGGGCGCUAGGUGUGGGUUUCCUUCCACGGGAUCCGUGCCGCAGCUAACGCAUUAAGCGCCCCGCCUGGGGAGUACGGCCGCAAGGCUAAAAACUCAAAGGAAUUGACGGGGGCCCGCACAAGCGGCGGAGCAUGUGGAUUAAUUCGAUGCAACGCGAAGAACCUUACCAAGUCUUGACAUCCUGCGACGGUGCUGGAAACAGUACUUUCCUUCGGGACGCAGAGACAGGUGGUGCAUGGUUGUCGU